CGGCCGAGAGCGGCGGCCCACGCACCGAGCCCUGGGGCCCUGGGACACUCGGAGGUGGCAGAGAAGAGAGGGAGCCGGCAGCGGAGACUGAGGAGGGGCGGCCAGGGGUCUGGGAGGGAACCCCAAGAGUGCAGGUGCAGCGUGACCUCCUGGUUCUCAGCGCCCUGGAGCGAGAUGCCUCUUGUCGGAAGCAUAAGUUGCGACAGAAACUGGAACAGAUCAUCAGCCUCGUGUCCAGCAACCCCUAAGGGUGGCGGAACCGUCCUCCCGGCUCCUCUGUGACACCGGCAGCCUUGGCCUAGCCUCUGACACACCGCCCCCCGCCCCCCCUCGCCAUGGCUGGCCCCGCCGCUUCCGAGCAGGCGGGUGUCGGCACCAGCAGCACUUGGGGGUGGGGGGGGGGAGGAGUGGAGGGAGGGCGACACCCCUGAAACCGCCCUCGGACUGUGGCUGCGCCCAGGGGUCUCCCCGCAGCUGGGCCUCGGCAUCCCCUCCGACCGUCUGGGGAGUCGGACUGUACCUUCUCCCAGGGUCCUGGCCUGAGCACCUGGACGCCUAUAGCCAGGCUUGGGCCGGGGCCUGAGCUGGGCCUGGGGACCCUGGAACUCUCCUUCUCCCGGCCCUACUGCCAAACUUCCUCAGUGUUGUCUGCACUUGGCCCCGGACCCCUCGCCCCUCAGCUGCGCUGCCCUGCGCCUGCCCCGAGUGGCGUGGCCGAGGCGGCGAGGCGGCCGUGCCUUACUCCUUGGUUCUUCUUCUUCCUCCUCUGAGGGAUCUGGCUCCGCCUCGGGGUCCCGAAAACCCAAGUCUCUCCCCUUCUUGGGCAUGAGCUUUUUGUUGUUGUUGUUGUUGAU
Zalophus californianus (California sea lion) is the source of this 854-nucleotide long non-coding RNA. RefSeq lists it as uncharacterized. Lineage: Eukaryota; Metazoa; Chordata; Mammalia; Carnivora; Otariidae. The record is from RefSeq and is a predicted model, not a curated record. The transcript is spliced from 3 exons.